This 46-nucleotide non-coding RNA is filed under the name Trichobilharzia regenti. The record is from RNAcentral. Lineage: Eukaryota; Metazoa; Platyhelminthes; Trematoda; Strigeidida; Schistosomatidae.
GUACUGCUGAACAGUCCCAACCUGGGACGAAACAGCUGUCCAGUAC